GCCGGAGUGUUGGAAUGGUAGACAACGGGGACUUAAAAUCCCCUGGGCGCAAGCUCGUACGGGUUCAAGUCCCGUCUCCGGCA
Molecule: transfer RNA, 83 nt
Filed under: Treponema sp.
Lineage: Bacteria; Pseudomonadati; Spirochaetota; Spirochaetia; Treponematales; Treponemataceae
Description: tRNA-Leu
Rfam family: tRNA
About the family: Transfer RNA (tRNA) molecules are approximately 80 nucleotides in length. Their secondary structure includes four short double-helical elements and three loops (D, anti-codon, and T loops).
Source: RNAcentral